Long non-coding RNA from Anser brachyrhynchus (Pink-footed goose), 426 nucleotides. NCBI's taxonomy places the organism in Eukaryota, Metazoa, Chordata, Aves, Anseriformes, Anatidae. The record is from Ensembl.
CUGGCUACAAAUCAUUGUUAUCAUAAUAAGAAAACAGAAAACCUGUCAAACAGUUAUACAGAGACUUUUCAAUAAGAUUGAUACUCACAUUUAUGGUUAUUCAAAAUGAAGGAUGAAGCUGUCCAGCUCUUCUGUUCAUUGCGAAUCAAGAAUGAGUAAGACACUCUGCUCUAAAGUGGUUGUGAUGCAUAUUUUGAGUGGCAGAAGAUGUCUGGAGUUCUGCAUUAAAUUUCCCUGGUGCUUUGAAGAUCUUUCCUUCCCUAUGCCUGCAAGUGGAUUACAUAUAGUGUGGCCAAGAACCUUGGACCUCAAAUCUAAAUCCUGUAAAGCAUUUCCCCAACUGUCUUGCUUUUAUGGCACUCUUUGUGGACUGGGGAGAUGCAUUAAAAUUGUCUGAAGCAGAAUAAAAAACAGAAUCUCAAUUCA